RNAcentral lists this ribosomal RNA (554 nucleotides) under uncultured bacterium. Its description in RNAcentral is "bacterial SSU rRNA". It matches the Rfam family "Bacterial small subunit ribosomal RNA", at positions 340 to 916 of the family's 1533-position model. The record is from RNAcentral.
UACGGGAGGCAGCAGGGGGGAAUUUUCCACAAUGGGCGAAAGCCUGAUGGAGCAAUACCGCGUGAGGGAUGAAGGAUCGUGGUCUGUAAACCUCUUUUCUUAACGAAGAAGUUCUGACGGUAGUUAAGGAAUAAGCACCGGCUAACUCCGUGCCAGCAGCCGCGGUAAUACGGGGGGUGCGAGCGUUGUCCGGAAUGAUUGGGCGUAAAGCAUCUGUAGGUGGUUUUUAAAGUCGACUGUUAAAGCCCAGGGCUCAACUUUGGAAAAGCGGUCGAGUACUUAAAAACUUGAGUAUGGUAGGGGUAGAGGGAAUUCCUAGUGGAGCGGUGAAAUGCACAGAGAUUAGGAAGAACACCAAAGGCGAAAGCACUCUACUGGGCCAACACUGACACUGAGAGAUGAAAGUCGGGGGAGCGAAAAGGAUUAGAUACCCUUGUAGUCCCAACUGUAAACGAUGGAUACUAAGUGCUGGCAAAACCAGUGCUGUAGCUAACGCGUUAAGUAUCCCGCCUGGGGAGUAUGCACGCAAGAGUGAAACUCAAAGGAAUUGACGG